AUUGCAACGAGGCUGACAUGGCUGAUGGGACUGCUCCCUCUGCCACUCAUACCUGAGACCCCAGACACUGUAGAAAGAACGCAGCCUUUGCAGCUGGGCAGCCACUGUGGGUUUUGUUUCCCCAGGUCCUCCUGCUCCACCACAGGCCAUCUCCCUGGGCCUCAUCCAGACAGCUGGACACUGAGCACAGCUCUGUUGUCCUCUUCCCUGGGCUGAGUGGACUCAGAGGUGCUGGGGACUGCAUGGCCGCCGGACGAGGCGGGGGCUUUCCAACCCAACACCACCGAGCCUGCCUCUUCCUGCCCUGGAUGCUAUGUCUUCCAUAGAGCCGCUUUUCCAACACAGCAGGAAUUGGGAUCCUGACACAUCCACCAAAGAGCCUUUGAGUACUUCGAAAUCACUUGGAACAGGUUCCUGCAAAGCAAACCCUUCUGGGCUUGAGGAGGAAAUGGACCCGGAACAUUCAGCCCAUCUGAGCACAA
This 482-nucleotide long non-coding RNA is filed under the name Homo sapiens (human). Its description in RNAcentral is "HSALNT0270365". The record is from RNAcentral. Lineage: Eukaryota; Metazoa; Chordata; Mammalia; Primates; Hominidae.